AAGUCGUAACAAGGUCUCCGUAGGUGAACCUGCGGAGGGAUCAUUCACAUGAUAUACUUUAAACAAACUGUGAACUUUAAACAAAAUACUAUUCGUGUGUGUUGUUGACUUUAUGUUAAUUUCAUACAUUGUCAUUCGAUUGAACAUAAGAUAGUUGGCUUGAAAUUGUAAUUUAUUACAUUUUCUUUCUCAGCUUUGAUUUGAUAGAACUAAACAUUUUAUCACUUCAACCAUAAAACAUAGAAACAACUCUAUGCCCUGGAUAUCUUGGUUCUC
RNAcentral lists this unclassified non-coding RNA (276 nucleotides) under fungal sp. RNAcentral describes it as "partial internal transcribed spacer region". The stretch from base 1 to 46 matches the Rfam family "Eukaryotic small subunit ribosomal RNA", at positions 1786 to 1831 of the family's 1831-position model. The record is from RNAcentral. Lineage: Eukaryota; Fungi.